RNAcentral lists this ribosomal RNA (253 nucleotides) under uncultured prokaryote. Its description in RNAcentral is "partial 16S ribosomal RNA". It matches the Rfam family "Bacterial small subunit ribosomal RNA", at positions 524 to 776 of the family's 1533-position model. The record is from RNAcentral.
UACGUAGGGACCGAGCGUUGUCCGGAAUCAUUGGGCGUAAAGAGCGUGUAGGCGGCUCGCUAAGUCUUGCGUGAAAUCUCGGGGCUCAACCCCGAGCGGUCGUGAGAAACUGGCGGGCUAGAGUGCGGGAGAGGAGAGUGGAAUUCCUGGUGUAGCGGUGAAAUGCGCAGAUAUCAGGAAGAACACCCGUGGCGAAGGCGGCUCUCUGGAACGCAACUGACGCUGAGGCACGAAGGCCAGGGGAGCAAACGGG